Molecule: ribosomal RNA, 563 nt
Filed under: Amazonian soil bacterium P3b
Lineage: Bacteria
Description: bacterial SSU rRNA
Rfam family: Bacterial small subunit ribosomal RNA
Source: RNAcentral
GCAUUAAGCCCCCGCCUGGGGAGUACGGCCGCAAGGNUAAAUUCAAAGGAUUGACGGGGCCCGCACAAGCGGCGGAGCAUGUGGAUUAAUUUGAUGCAACGCGAAGACCUUACCUGGGUUUGACAUAUACCGGAAAGCCGUAGAGAUACGGCCCCCCUUGUGGUCGGUAUACAGGUGGUGCAUGGCUGUCGUCAGCUCGUGUCGUGAGAUGUUGGGUUAAGUCCCGCAACGAGCGCAACCCUUGUCCUGUGUUGCCAGCGCGUAAUGGCGGGGACUCGCAGGAGACUGCCGGGGUCAACUCGGAGGAAGGUGGGGACGACGUCAAGUCAUCAUGCCCCUUAUGUCCAGGGCUUCACACAUGCUACAAUGGCCGGUACAGAGGGCUGCGAUACCGUGAGGUGGAGCGAAUCCCUUAAAGCCGGUCUCAGUUCGGAUCGGGGUCUGCAACUCGACCCCGUGAAGUCGGAGUCGCUAGUAAUCGCAGAUCAGCAACGCUGCGGUGAAUACGUUCCCGGGCCUUGUACACACCGCCCGUCACGUCAUGAAAGUCGGUAACACCCGAA